Hyla sarda is the source of this 88-nucleotide small nucleolar RNA. RefSeq annotates it as small nucleolar RNA SNORD35. The record is from RefSeq and is a predicted model, not a curated record. Lineage: Eukaryota; Metazoa; Chordata; Amphibia; Anura; Hylidae. The transcript has a single exon.
AGCAAGUGAUGUUCAUUCUCACGAUGGUCUUCCAAGCCUCAUAGAGGGCUCUGACGACAAUGCCUACUGGCUUUACUGAUGCUCUACA